GAUGUCCCGAUAUAGAUAAUCUUGAAGUAAUUCUUGAUUCUUAGAUCAACUAGAGAACUCUCAGGAAACUUCCUCUCUUCCCACCAAAAAUAAUUAUAUAGUUAUCCUUGGGUGAUCUUGGGUCUUAAUUAGUACACUCACGUUCCCUGUGGAAAAUCGAUACUCUGGAAUACUCCCGGGUGAAGGCUACAUCGGUAUCCGUGCGCUUGUGGAUUUUUCUGUUUGCGUUUAAAAUACCCAACAAGCUUUCUGGCGCCGUUGCCGAGGAACGGUAGCUGUGCUAGUUUCGAACCAAGUCGCCCGUAUAUCCUUUUUCUUUUCUUUUUUUUACCACACUCACCUUAUCAUUUUCACCGUACCACAUGGAUUUCACUCUAAGCAUUAAUGAGCAUGGAAUUUAUUUCAUAGCCACUUCAUUUACUCCAUGCUCAUAUGCAACAUCUUCACAAUCCAUUGGUCUCUCCAACAUCACCACAUUUGAGAUCUCCAACCCCCUCUUCCUUUCUAUUUAUAAAAACUUUAAAAGGGCGGUUGUCGAUGCAUAUGUUUAUAAUAAAUUUUGCAGAUCUCGUUGAGUUGAUCUUGAUAUAGGUCAGCGUUGGAGGGGAAACCACUUCACUGACAUAAACUGAUGGUUUCCCAAGGACAAGCUUAGUGUCCUAAAACAAGCACUGAUCAGAUUGUAACAUGAGCUUUUAAUUAUUUACAACAUUAACUUGUGUAUUGAGCAUAUAAGGAUAAUUGUAAAAAAAUUCCUUCGGGUAUUCUUGUCACUAAUCUUUCCAGGAUUGGAGC
Molecule: long non-coding RNA, 795 nt
Filed under: Sorghum bicolor (sorghum)
Lineage: Eukaryota; Viridiplantae; Streptophyta; Magnoliopsida; Poales; Poaceae
Description: long non-coding RNA (SBIC_LNC010485)
Source: RNAcentral